CUGCGAAUGGCUCAUUAAAUCAGUUAUCGUUUAUUUGAUAGUACCUUACUACUUGGAUAACCGUGGUAAUUCUAGAGCUAAUACAUGCUAAAAACCCCGACUCACGAAGGGGUGUAUUUAUUAGAUUAAAAACCAAUGCCCUUCGGGGCUCUCUGGUGAUUCAUAAUAACUUCUCGAAUCGCAUGGCCUUGCGCCGGCGAUGGUUCAUUCAAAUUUCUGCCCUAUCAACUUUCGAUGGCAGGGUCUUGGCCUGCCAUGGUUACAACGGGUAACGGAGGGUUAGGGCUCGACCCCGGAGAAGGAGCCUGAGAAACGGCUACUACAUCCAAGGAAGGCAGCAGGCGCGCAAAUUACCCAAUCCCGAUUCGGGGAGGUAGUGACAAUAAAUACUGAUACAGGGCUCUUUUGGGUCUUGUAAUUGGAAUGAGUACAAUUUAAAUCCCUUAACGAGGAACAAUUGGAGGGCAAGUCUGGUGCCAGCAGCCGCGGUAAUUCCAGCUCCAAUAGCGUAUAUUAAAGUUGUUGCAGUUAAAAAGCUCGUAGUUGAACCUUGGGCCUGGCUGGCCGGUCCGCCUCACCGCGUGCACUGGUUCGGCCGGGCCUUUCCCUCUGGGGAGCCUCAUGCCCUUCACUGGGUGUG
RNAcentral lists this ribosomal RNA (640 nucleotides) under Pleosporales sp. Its description in RNAcentral is "SSU rRNA". It matches the Rfam family "Eukaryotic small subunit ribosomal RNA", at positions 87 to 730 of the family's 1831-position model. Lineage: Eukaryota; Fungi; Ascomycota; Dothideomycetes; Pleosporales. The record is from RNAcentral.